Molecule: non-coding RNA, 60 nt
Organism: Ailuropoda melanoleuca (giant panda)
Lineage: Eukaryota; Metazoa; Chordata; Mammalia; Carnivora; Ursidae
Source: Rfam
GGGAAAAGAGGAUGGGGCUGGGGAGACUCUCCCCAAGUCCUCCUCAGGCAAAUAGGCUCA